AGGGCCUCCUCCGCCCCAGGGUCCGGCCCAGGACGUCCGGCGGGGCGGGGCGGCGCCGGGGGGGGCAAGAGGCCGAGGGCACCCCGCCCCCACCCAGAACACAGGCCCCCAUUGAGAGGCGGCUGAGAGCCGCUUUGUCCGCGGUGCCCGCAGGCCCGGACCCUGCCAGCUGCCCUGGCUCCCGCCCCCCCAGUGGACAGCGCCGGCGGGCACCAGCCCGUGGCCUCAUCGCCCCACGACAGGCUGGGGCCACCCGGAGCCGCGGGCCGGUCGCCCAUCGGGUCCCCUUCCUUCGGGGCCGACCCUGCGGAUGGCCGCCCUGGCCCGAGGGCAGGGGCACAGGAGCUACCGGGUGGAGACCACGUUGGGGGGCAGUCAGUCCCCCUGCAAAUGUGUGCUGUCAGCUACCUGGGGGCGCUGGCCGGGGCUGCCUGCCACCCCACGGACAAAGUCAGGGGCCCAGUCGAGGCCUGGCGGCGGUGCCACCCUUGCCAGGGCACUUGGAUGUUUACCUCGUGAAGGGUCCCCACAGCCCGCGAGCAGCAGAGCAGACAGGUGUCCUCAUCAACCCUGUUGACAGGCGGGGAGGCCAGGGCUCACAGGAGCGUAGGCCUGGCCCCAGAUACUGCCGCCAGGGGAUGGGGGGCUCCAGUCAUCCAGCCGGAUCCCCUUCCCCAAGAGCAGGGGUGUGGACAGCGCCUCUCUGUGUCCCAGGAACGGAACCGGACAGCACAGGGCAGGCCCCGCAAAAUGUCAGUAAGUUAGGGAAGCACAGAGGGAAGAGGACGGCCUGGGCCCCAUGGGCGCUGGCACCCCGGCCCGGAACUGGGGCAGGCGGGCACAUGAUGGCAGGUGCAGGCGCAGGACCGGCCCAGGUGCAGCAGCAGAGGCGCCGGGCACAACCUGUGUCCAUCAGCCUGCAUGCGUGCCGGUCCCGUCCACGCCCUCCUAGGCACAAGCUCCGUGGCCGCUGCGUCCACGCUGUCACCGGUCCUUGCGGGACGUAACCCCUGUGGGCUGAGGGACUUUCAGAGGAAGGGUCGUCCCUUCCUGGCCAAGGCUGAUGCUCCCCCGGGUACUCAAGACCGCGUGUGACCUCUCUGCGUCAUCUCUUUAGUGCCCUUAGCUUCUUUCCCACCCAAAACGAAACCCCAAGUCUUCCCUCGUCAAACAAGCCCAAGCCCAAGCCCCAUGCUUCCCAAAACGCCCCCUUUUCUAGCUGCUUUCCUGCUUCUUCCCUUUAUUUCCCAGCUGGUCCUCCUCCAACCUGGCCCCGGGUGAGGCCUGCAGCGGGCCACCCACCUAGCUCGCAUCGACGGGGAGCCUUUAACCAGAAAACUCUAGGAAAACGUGCGGCCCUCGGGACAGCAGUGUUGCGCAGGGGCCGGGGCGGGAGGGCGGCCUGGGGG
Molecule: long non-coding RNA, 1409 nt
Filed under: Canis lupus dingo (dingo)
Lineage: Eukaryota; Metazoa; Chordata; Mammalia; Carnivora; Canidae
Description: lncRNA (ENSCAFG00020016206.1)
Source: RNAcentral